Molecule: ribosomal RNA, 253 nt
Filed under: uncultured bacterium
Lineage: Bacteria
Description: partial 16S ribosomal RNA
Rfam family: Bacterial small subunit ribosomal RNA
Source: RNAcentral
UACGUAGGUGGCAAGCGUUGUCCGGAUUUACUGGGCGUAAAGAGCGCGCAGGCGGUCGUUCAAGUCGCGUGUGAAAGCCCCCGGCUCAACUGGGGAGGGUCACGCGAUACUGAUCGACUCGAAGGCAGGAGAGGGUAGUGGAAUUCCCGGUGUAGUGGUGAAAUGCGUAGAUAUCGGGUGGAACACCAGUGGCGAAGGCGACUACCUGGCCUGUUCUUGACGCUGAGGCGCGAAAGCUAGGGGAGCAAACGGG